RNAcentral lists this ribosomal RNA (505 nucleotides) under Porphyromonadaceae bacterium. RNAcentral describes it as "partial 23S ribosomal RNA". It matches the Rfam family "Bacterial large subunit ribosomal RNA", at positions 1166 to 1667 of the family's 2925-position model. The record is from RNAcentral. Lineage: Bacteria; Pseudomonadati; Bacteroidota; Bacteroidia; Bacteroidales; Porphyromonadaceae.
GAUAAUAAUCGGGUAUGAAGCCCGGUGCCGAAGCCGUGGGAUGUCUUUAUGACAUCGGUAGGGGAGCAUUCAUGCGGCCUUGAAGCCCAAGGGACGACCUUGGGUGGAGCUUCAUGAAAAGCAAAUGUAGGUAUAAGUAACGAUAAAGAGUGUGAGAUGCACUCUCGCCGAAAGACUAAGGUUUCCGGGGCAACGUUAAUCGGCCCCGGGUCAGUCGGGACCUAAGGCUCAUCCUAAUGGAGAGGCCGAUGGCAGAAACGGUUAAUAUUCCGUUACUAUCCCUUGGGGCGAUGUGGAGACGGAGAAGUGACACUUCCGCGGGCUGACGGAAUAGCCCGUUAAAGAUCGUAGGCGUCGACGAGGGCAGGCAAAUCCACCCUCUGAGCUGAAAGUCGACAGUAUGCAGCGUCUUCGGACAAUGCAAUAGUGAAGGUAAGCAUACUCCCGAGAAAAUCCGCUAAGCUUAACCCAUUGGAUACCCGUACCGCAAACGGACACACGUAGU